RNAcentral lists this ribosomal RNA (442 nucleotides) under uncultured bacterium. RNAcentral's name for it is "bacterial SSU rRNA". It matches the Rfam family "Bacterial small subunit ribosomal RNA", at positions 338 to 795 of the family's 1533-position model. The record is from RNAcentral.
CCUANGGGUGGCAGCAGCUAAGAAUCUUGCGCAAUGGGCGAAAGCCUGACGCAGCAAUUCCGCGUGGGGGACGAAGGCCCUCGGGUCGUAAACCCCUUUUGCGAGGGAAGAAGUUCUGACGGUACCUCGCGAAUAAGACACGGCUAACUACGUGCCAGCAGCCGCGGUAAUACGUAGGUGUCGAGCGUUGUCCGGAUUUAUUGGGCGUAAAGAGCCCGCAGGCGGCUUGGUAAGUUCGAGGUGAAAUCUCCUGGCUUAACUGGGAGGCUGCCUCGAAAACUAUCAGGCUUGAGGAAUGGAGAGGGAUGCAGAAUUCCAGGUGUAGCGGUGAAAUGCGUAGAUAUCUGGAGGAAUACCAGUGGCGAAGGCGGCAUCCUGGCCAUGUCCUGACGCUCAGGGGCGAAAGCGUGGGGAGCAAACCGGAUUAGAUACCCUUNUANUC